RNAcentral lists this non-coding RNA (31 nucleotides) under Rattus norvegicus (Norway rat). The record is from RNAcentral. Lineage: Eukaryota; Metazoa; Chordata; Mammalia; Rodentia; Muridae.
UGACCAUGCUGCCUUGAAAUCGGUCACACGC